This 562-nucleotide ribosomal RNA is filed under the name Exiguobacterium sp. Its description in RNAcentral is "bacterial SSU rRNA". It matches the Rfam family "Bacterial small subunit ribosomal RNA", at positions 211 to 765 of the family's 1533-position model. The record is from RNAcentral. Lineage: Bacteria; Bacillati; Bacillota; Bacilli; Caryophanales.
GGCGUCACCUUGGGAUGGCCUUGCGGUGCAUUAGCUAGUUGGUGGGGUAAUGGCCCACCAAGGCGACGAUGCAUAGCCGACCUGAGAGGGUGAUCGGCCACACUGGGACUGAGACACGGCCCAGACUCCUACGGGAGGCAGCAGUAGGGAAUCUUCCACAAUGGACGAAAGUCUGAUGGAGCAACGCCGCGUGAGUGAUGAAGGUUUUCGGAUCGUAAAACUCUGUUGUAAGGGAAGAACAGGUAUGAGAGGUAAUGCUCAUGCUAUGACGGUACCUUGCGAGAAAGCCACGGCUAACUACGUGCCAGCAGCCGCGGUAAUACGUAGGUGGCAAGCGUUGUCCGGAAUUAUUGGGCGUAAAGCGCGCGCAGGCGGCCUUUUAAGUCUGAUGUGAAAGCCCCCGGCUCAACCGGGGAGGGUCAUUGGAAACUGGAAGGCUUGAGUACAGAAGAGAAGAGUGGAAUUCCAUGUGUAGCGGUGAAAUGCGUAGAGAUGUGGAGGAACACCAGUGGCGAAGGCGACUCUUUGGUCUGUAACUGACGCUGAGGCGCGAAAGCGUGGG